RNAcentral lists this ribosomal RNA (552 nucleotides) under Blommersia blommersae (Ambrana Madagascar frog). RNAcentral's name for it is "partial 16S ribosomal RNA". The stretch from base 1 to 387 matches the Rfam family "Bacterial large subunit ribosomal RNA", at positions 725 to 1300 of the family's 2925-position model. Lineage: Eukaryota; Metazoa; Chordata; Amphibia; Anura; Mantellidae. The record is from RNAcentral.
GGGAGCUACUUCGAAACAGCUAAAAGAGCUAACCCAUCUCUGUUGCAAUAGAGUGUGAUGAUUUCCAAGUAGAGGUGAUAAACCUACCGCACCUAGAGAUAGCUGGUUACUCAAAAAAAGAAUUUAAGUUCAACCUUAAGUUUUCUUAGUCUUAAAAACAUUCACAAAACUUAAGAGCCAUUCAAAUAAGGCACAGCUUAUUUGAAAUAGGAUACAACCUAAAAUAUAGGGUAAUAUUACCAGAAAAAAUAUCAAGUGGGCCUAAAAACAGCCACCUUUUAAAAAACGUUAAAGUUUACUAUUAAUUCUUUACUAAUUUCCCCAUUUUUAUAAAACCCAUAAAUACUAUUGAGUAAUUCUAUACUUCUAUAGAAGUUUUUAUGCUAGAACUAGUAAUAAGAAAUUGAAUUUCUCUAAAAUGUAAGUUUAAGCCACUUUAGACAAUCUACCGGCAAUUAACGUAAAUGAAUCAAUUUUAGUAACACAACAAGAAAAACCUAAAAAUACUAACGUUAAUCUUACACUAGAACAUUUUUAGAAAGAUUAAAAGAG